CAGUUGCGAGUUAGUUUGGGCGUAGCAGGCAAGGCGUGCACAGAGAUAUAGUUGGCACCCAGUGUUUUGUAUAUUGAAAACUUCACUUUUUAAUUUCUCAUAUAAACCAGAUUGUCUUCACUUCACUUUUGAGGUCCAAAGUACAAGUAGACCAAAUACAGGGAAUGUUGUCAUUCGCACGUUAUACCUCUACCCGCCAAAGUUUGGGAGAAGACCAUAUGAUGUGGAAACAGAAACCAACUUUUUAUUUAAUGAACUGUAGUACACAAAAUUGUAAUCUGUAAAAGUGGAGAAAAAAUAUACAUAUAGUGUAAAGUGUUGUG
Molecule: long non-coding RNA, 323 nt
Organism: Ostrea edulis (European flat oyster)
Lineage: Eukaryota; Metazoa; Mollusca; Bivalvia; Ostreida; Ostreidae
Exons: 2
Source: RefSeq, a predicted model, not a curated record